AGAGUUUGAUCAUGGCUCAGGACGAACGCUGGCGGCGUGCUUAACACAUGCAAGUCGAACGAUGAACCUCCUUCGGGAGGGGAUUAGUGGCGAACGGGUGAGUAACACGUGGGCAACCUGCCCCGCACACUGGGAUAAGCCCUGGAAACGGGGUCUAAUACCGGAUAUGACUCAAGGUCGCAUGGUCUUGGGUGGAAAGCUCCGGCGGUGCGGGAUGGGCCCGCGGCCUAUCAGCUUGUUGGUGAGGUAACGGCUCACCAAGGCGACGACGGGUAGCCGGCCUGAGAGGGCGACCGGCCACACUGGGACUGAGACACGGCCCAGACUCCUACGGGAGGCAGCAGUGGGGAAUAUUGCACAAUGGGCGCAAGCCUGAUGCAGCGACGCCGCGUGAGGGAUGAAGGCCUUCGGGUUGUAAACCUCUUUCAGCAGGGAAGAAGCUCUUGAGUGACGGUACCUGCAGAAGAAGCGCCGGCUAACUACGUGCCAGCAGCCGCGGUAAUACGUAGGGCGCGAGCGUUGUCCGGAAUUAUUGGGCGUAAAGAGCUCGUAGGCGGUUUGUCGCGUCGGUUGUGAAAGCCCGGGGCUUAACUCCGGGUCUGCAGUCGAUACGGGCAGGCUAGAGUUCGGUAGGGGAGAUCGGAAUUCCUGGUGUAGCGGUGAAAUGCGCAGAUAUCAGGAGGAACACCGGUGGCGAAGGCGGAUCUCUGGGCCGAUACUGACGCUGAGGAGCGAAAGC
This 739-nucleotide ribosomal RNA is filed under the name uncultured bacterium. Its description in RNAcentral is "bacterial SSU rRNA". It matches the Rfam family "Bacterial small subunit ribosomal RNA", at positions 8 to 760 of the family's 1533-position model. The record is from RNAcentral.